Molecule: non-coding RNA, 665 nt
Organism: Nicotiana tabacum (common tobacco)
Lineage: Eukaryota; Viridiplantae; Streptophyta; Magnoliopsida; Solanales; Solanaceae
Source: RefSeq, a predicted model, not a curated record
ACAGAGAUAUCAGACACAAUUAGCAAACUGAAAGUUUGCCACUGCAAUGUGUUUAUUAAAGAAUAUUGUGUUACCUAUAUUGCAUAUUAUAGUGUUUUCUGAAACUCUUACCCCGUUAUGAAUUAGUUAUCACUUGUUGAGUCAGUGAACUCAUUCCUUACUUUUAUGUCUACAGAUACAAGUGUUCAUUCCUAUACCGAGACUUGAGCUAGUGUACUUCAGUGCUGAGCCGCACGUUUCCUUCCAUGGGUGAUGCUGAGAACUUAUUGGCUGAAUGGCAACUGGAGCACGUCGUCUACUCGCUCAUACGAUCUUCUAAGACCAUCCAAUCUCUGGCAUAUUGGUGGGAGAAGAUGUGGGAGCCUGGGAGGUACCUUCAGUUGACUCCAACCUUUGCAAAUGCUCUUACUUGCAAUAAGAGGAUGAUAAUGUAGUAGGUAAACUCAUGGAACGAACAAGGCUGGUGAUUUUUAUAUUUUCCACUGAAGCUCAAAAAAUUUUCUUCUACUGUUUAAAGCCUAUCAAGUAUGAUGAUGAUUUCUUGGCUUUGGUUUAGAUACACUUAGUUAAGAAUCUUUUUUUUUUUAAUAAUGAAAUCAAAGUUAGGUGCCUCUGUAUCAAUUGAAUCUUCUAAUGCACAAAGAAGUCCUAAGACUGAGACAUGA